RNAcentral lists this transfer RNA (76 nucleotides) under Staphylococcus pseudintermedius. Its description in RNAcentral is "tRNA-Asp". It matches the Rfam family "tRNA". From Rfam's summary of the family: Transfer RNA (tRNA) molecules are approximately 80 nucleotides in length. Their secondary structure includes four short double-helical elements and three loops (D, anti-codon, and T loops). Further hydrogen bonds mediate the characteristic L-shaped molecular structure. tRNAs have two regions of fundamental functional importance: the anti-codon, which is responsible for specific mRNA codon recognition, and the 3' end, to which the tRNAs corresponding amino acid is attached (by aminoacyl-tRNA synthetases). tRNAs cope with the degeneracy of the genetic code in two manners: having more than one tRNA (with a specific anti-codon) for a particular amino acid; and 'wobble' base-pairing, i.e. permitting non-standard base-pairing at the 3rd anti-codon position. Lineage: Bacteria; Bacillati; Bacillota; Bacilli; Caryophanales; Staphylococcaceae. The record is from RNAcentral.
GGUCCCGUAGUGGAGCGGUUUAACACGCCUGCCUGUCACGCGGAGAUCGCGGGUUCGAUUCCCGUCGGGACCGCCA